This 492-nucleotide ribosomal RNA is filed under the name uncultured bacterium. Its description in RNAcentral is "partial 16S ribosomal RNA". It matches the Rfam family "Bacterial small subunit ribosomal RNA", at positions 29 to 507 of the family's 1533-position model. The record is from RNAcentral.
AGUGAACGCUGGCGGUAGGCCUAACACAUGCAAGUCGAACGGCAGCACAGUAAGCGCUUGCUCUUACGGGUGGCGAGUGGCGGACGGGUGAGGCAUACAUCGGCAUCUAAUUUUUCGUGGGUGAUAACGUAGGGCCACUUACGCUAAUACCGCAUAUGACCUACGGCUGAAAGCAGGAGAUCUUCGGACCUUGCGCGAUUGAUUGAGCCGAUGUCGGAUUAGCUAGUUGGCGGGGUAAAGGCCCACCAAGGCGACGAUCCGUAGCUGAUCUGAGAGGAUGAUCGGCCACACUGGAACUGAGACACGGUCCAGACUCCUACGGGAGGCAGCAGUGGGGAAUAUUCGACAAUGGGCGAAAGCUUGAUCCAGCCAUACCGCGUGAGUGAAGAAGGCCUUCGGGUUGUAAAGCCCUGUUAUUGGGAAAGAAAAAAAGCAGAUUAAUACCCCGCUGUUCUGACGGUACCCAAAGAAUAAGCACCGGCUAACUUCGUG